RNAcentral lists this unclassified non-coding RNA (1275 nucleotides) under Hevea brasiliensis (rubber tree). Lineage: Eukaryota; Viridiplantae; Streptophyta; Magnoliopsida; Malpighiales; Euphorbiaceae. The record is from RNAcentral.
GGUUUGUCUAACCUCUGCCCAGAGUAUUUUGAUUUGCAUACAAGAACACAACACAAUAAAACAGUAUACAUUGUUAAAGACCAGUAAAGACACACAAACAAGGAAACACAGAUGCCUAGGAAAAGAUUAAUCACAUACUUAAGACUUAGACAAGACCUCUCGAGAACAACUAGAGACUCUAAUUUCACAAAAAAUAUUUGUUGAUACUAGAUGGAAGACGGACCGCGAUCAUUUUGACCAAGUUUAGAUGGCUGAGGGCUGGGAGUUUGUUUUAUUUCAAGUCCCUUGCCAUUGAAUCUGGGGCUUCUUUCUCCUCUUAGUACAUUGAUUCUUGGACUAUAAGCCCUUUGAGAUAACUGUGGGCUGUGUGUUGACUUGAUUUCAUCAAGAGAGGUAGGAGUUGAACUAGUUACUCUUGGGCUGCAUGAACGCCUAAUCUCCCCACGGCUUCUUGUGAUCAUAUCAUCAAGAACCUCACCACUAUCAAUGCAGGCUGGUCUUCCCUGAGGAUCUUGAUCUCCAUAGGACAUGUUGUAUGCUAUUGCAGGGGCUUCUUCAUAUUCUGCAGCGUCUAGAUCUUGUAAAUGUGCUCCUUUGAAGAACUUGGGAAGCAAAUACUGGCGCACUGGGACUAGAAGCAUGAUCAACAAAGGGAAAAGAACACCAGCUAUUGGUAUCCAUGUGAUGCCGAAACAAAGGAGCAAAUAAAAUGUCUGAAACAAGGUGAACCAGGCAAUUGUCUUGAAAGGUACUGUCUCGACAAAUGUUGCAUGAUUAUCUUCCAAGACCUUGUAUCUUCUACUUGGUGCAGUGAAAAGCAAUAAUAUCCUCUCCCAAAACUGAUUUCCUGGCAAGCUCUCUAUUGCCAUGAAAGCAAAGUAUCCCCAGAGAACAGAAGAAGGAAUCCUUUUCAAGAUAGGCAUAGCAGCCACACAAGCACCAACCAUUAACGCCUGAAGGAGAUUACUUAGACGCUGUUCUUUGACUUCUACUGGUAAGAGCUCAUCAAUAUCCUUAUCCACAUCAAAGACUGUCUCGUCGACUGGUGCGUCUAUGUACCCGGUACUCGAUGCCCGUUGAACUGUGGUCUCUUUUAGCUCUUUCAAUCCCAGGCCAGAAGGAGUUUGAUACACAAGGGGAGUCUGCAUCUCGUUGUAAGCCUCCUGCAUGCUCCUAUAUAAUUGGCCAAGAUUUGCAUUUUUAUCAAUGUUUUUUUUCGCUGUUGAGGCAAGUUUAUUCCGUAAAAGCUGAUGUUUCAGAGUGGCCAAGCUUUUU